Molecule: unclassified non-coding RNA, 274 nt
Filed under: Hevea brasiliensis (rubber tree)
Lineage: Eukaryota; Viridiplantae; Streptophyta; Magnoliopsida; Malpighiales; Euphorbiaceae
Source: RNAcentral
AGCUUUUUUUUAGCACGAAGCUCUAAGAGCAGUGGCUCUGCUCUUAAGCAGCUCAAUAUUUAUUUAUAAAAUUGCCAUACAAUAAUAAAGCUAAUGCAAAUCAGAGAAUUCAUAUCUCCAUUUCAUCUUUUGAUAGUCGUAUAGACAUUCGCUAUAAAAAAGAACAUAAGAAAAAUUCACAGAAAGGAACAAUCAUAAAAGCACACAUUACUCCUAAAAAGUACUAGUUUCCACUCUAGGUUCUCUGAUUGUUGACUUCAUUUCUUAUUCAAUC